AAAUAAGAAGCAAUAGAUGCAUUUAGUUUCGACCUAAAAACUGAUUUUAAAUAAUCCUUAUUUA
RNAcentral lists this transfer RNA (64 nucleotides) under Tenebrionoidea sp. 23 KM-2017. RNAcentral's name for it is "tRNA-Arg". Lineage: Eukaryota; Metazoa; Arthropoda; Insecta; Coleoptera. The record is from RNAcentral.